Molecule: non-coding RNA, 97 nt
Organism: Gemmatimonadetes bacterium SCN 70-22
Lineage: Bacteria; Pseudomonadati; Gemmatimonadota
Source: Rfam
UCCAGGUCCCGGAGGGCGUAAGCGCGCCAACCCCGUGAGGACCCCGAAGGUAGCAGCGGUACGCGAUGUCUCGCGUUGCUUCGUCAGACCUGGAGUA